ACAUAGCCCCGAUGGAAGCGACAUCCUUUUUUUGGUGGCUGAGCGGAGCCGAAGCUACCAAAAAAAGAUAUAGCGGACAGCGGGCGAGGAU
RNAcentral lists this small RNA (91 nucleotides) under Soonwooa buanensis. Its description in RNAcentral is "Flavo-1 RNA". It matches the Rfam family "Flavo-1 RNA". The record is from Rfam by way of RNAcentral. Lineage: Bacteria; Pseudomonadati; Bacteroidota; Flavobacteriia; Flavobacteriales; Weeksellaceae.